This 254-nucleotide ribosomal RNA is filed under the name uncultured bacterium. Its description in RNAcentral is "partial 16S ribosomal RNA". It matches the Rfam family "Bacterial small subunit ribosomal RNA", at positions 524 to 776 of the family's 1533-position model. The record is from RNAcentral.
UACGUAGGGGGCAAGCGUUGUCCGGAUUCAUUGGGCGUAAAGAGCGUGUAGGCGGCCAGGUAGGUCGGUUGUGAAAACUGGAGGCUCAACCUUCAGAGGUCGACCGAAACCAUCUGGCUAGAGUCCGGGAGAGGAGAGUGGAAUUCCUGGUGUAGCGGUGAAAUGCGCAGAUAUCAGGAAGGAACACCGGUGGCGAAGGCAGGUCUCUGGGCUGACACUGACGCUCAUGCACGAAAGCGUGGGGAGCAAACAGG